GACGAACGCUGGCGGCGUGCUUAACACAUGCAAGUCGAACGGAAAGGCCCUGCUUUUGUGGUGUGCUCGAGUGGCGAACGGGUGAGUAACACGUGAGUAACCUGCCCUUGACUUUGGGAUAACUUCAGGAAACUGGGGCUAAUACCGGAUAGGAGCUCCUGCUGCAUGGUGUGGGUUGGAAAGUUUCGGCGGUUGGGGAUGGACUCGCGGCUUAUCAGCUUGUUGGUGGGGUAGUGGCUUACCAAGGCUUAGACGGGUAGCCGGCCUGAGAGGGUGACCGGCGACAUUGGGACUGAGAUACGGACCAGAAUCCUACGGGAGGCAGCAGUGGGGAAUAUUGCACAAUGGGCGGAAGCCUGAUGCAGCAACGCCGCGUGCGGGAUGACGGCCUUCGGGUUGUAAACCGCUUUCGCCUGUGACGAAGCGUGAGUGACGGUAACGGGUAAAGAAGCACCGGCUAACUACGUG
This 468-nucleotide ribosomal RNA is filed under the name uncultured bacterium. RNAcentral describes it as "partial 16S ribosomal RNA". It matches the Rfam family "Bacterial small subunit ribosomal RNA", at positions 28 to 507 of the family's 1533-position model. The record is from RNAcentral.